AACGAACGCUGGCGGCAUGCCUAACACAUGCAAGUCGAACGAGACCUUCGGGUCUAGUGGCGCACGGGUGCGUAACGCGUGGGAACCUGCCCUUAGGUUCGGAAUAACUCCCCGAAAGGGGUGCUAAUACCGGAUAAUGUCUUCGGCCCAAAGAUUUAUCGCCUUUGGAUGGGCCCGCGUUGGAUUAGCUAGUUGGUAGGGUAAAAGCCUACCAAGGCGACGAUCCAUAGCUGGUCUGAGAGGAUGAUCAGCCACACUGGGACUGAGACACGGCCCAGACUCCUACGGGAGGCAGCAGUGGGGAAUAUUGGACAAUGGGCGAAAGCCUGAUCCAGCAAUGCCGCGUGAGUGAUGAAGGCCUUAGGGUUGUAAAGCUCUUUUACCCGGGAUGAUAAUGACAGUACCGGGAGAAUAAGCUCCGGCUAACUCCGU
RNAcentral lists this ribosomal RNA (432 nucleotides) under uncultured bacterium. RNAcentral describes it as "partial 16S ribosomal RNA". It matches the Rfam family "Bacterial small subunit ribosomal RNA", at positions 29 to 506 of the family's 1533-position model. The record is from RNAcentral.